Molecule: non-coding RNA, 285 nt
Organism: Biomphalaria pfeifferi
Lineage: Eukaryota; Metazoa; Mollusca; Gastropoda; Planorbidae
Source: the annotation of a GenBank genome assembly
UGUUGUUGUUAAAGCAUUUAAUAAAUAGCUGAACCAUAAGACAUUCAAUAAUGAGCCAAAUGAAAUGAGUCUAUGACAUCUCCUUUAGAACAUUGGAAACUUAGAAAACAAAACAAUAAAAAACGUAACAUCUGUGCAAAAUAUGGCUAGUAUUUACAAUAGUACUUCAAAUCCUUCAAAAUGACCCAGCCAAAUAUGUACAAAGUGAAGAUGACAUCAAAUGUGACACAUACUACACAGUACAGACACGAAUGAUAAUUAUAUCUCAGUACAGGCAUGAAUGAU